GACGAACGCUGGCGGCGUGCUUAACACAUGCAAGUCGAACGGUAAGGCUCCAGCUUGCUGGGGUACACGAGUGGCGAACGGGUGAGUAACACGUGGGUGACCUGCCCUGCACUUCGGGAUAAGCCUGGGAAACUGGGUCUAAUACCGGAUAGGACCAUGGUGUGGAUACUGUGGUGGAAAGUUUUUUCGGUGUGGGAUGGGCCCGCGGCCUAUCAGCUUGUUGGUGGGGUAAUGGCCUACCAAGGCGGCGACGGGUAGCCGGCCUGAGAGGGUGGACGGCCACAUUGGGACUGAGACACGGCCCAGACUCCUACGGGAGGCAGCAGUGGGGAAUAUGGCACAAGGGGCGGAAGCCUGAUGCAGCGACGCCGCGUGGGGGAUGACGGCCUUCGGGUUGUAAACUCCUUUCACCAUCGACGAAGGGUUUCUGACGGUAGAUGGAGAAGAAGCACCGGCUAACUACGUG
RNAcentral lists this ribosomal RNA (466 nucleotides) under uncultured bacterium. RNAcentral describes it as "partial 16S ribosomal RNA". It matches the Rfam family "Bacterial small subunit ribosomal RNA", at positions 28 to 507 of the family's 1533-position model. The record is from RNAcentral.